UGGGAAUAUUGCGCAAUGGGCGAAAGCCUGACGCAGCCACGCCGCGUGAGUGAUGAAGGCCUUCGGGUUGUAAAGCUCUGUCGGGAGGGACGAAGGGGAAACCCUGACGGUACCUCGCAAGAAAGCACCGGCUAACUCUGUGCCAGCAGCCGCGGUAAUACAGAGGGUGCAAGCGUUGCUCGGAUUUACUGGGCGUAAAGCGUACGCAGACGGUGAGAAAGGUCGGAUGUGAAAGCCCCGGGCUCAACCCGGGAACUGCAUCCGAAACCAUCUCGCUCGAGUGUGGGAGAGGGAAGCGGAAUUCCUGGUGUAGAGGUGAAAUUCGUAGAUAUCAGGAGGAACACCGGCGGCGAAGGCGGCUUCCUGGCCCAUUACUGACGUUCAGGUACGAAAGCGUGGGUAGCAAACAGGAUUAGAUACCCUGGUAGUCCACGCCGUAAACGAUGUGUGCUGGAUGUCGGGGGUAUUCACCCCUCGGUAUCGAAGGCCAACGCGAUAAGCACACCGCCUGGGGAGUACGGCCGCAAGGUUGAAACUCAAAGGAAUUGACGGGGUCAUAGCU
This 562-nucleotide ribosomal RNA is filed under the name uncultured bacterium. RNAcentral's name for it is "partial 16S ribosomal RNA". It matches the Rfam family "Bacterial small subunit ribosomal RNA", at positions 356 to 926 of the family's 1533-position model. The record is from RNAcentral.